Pelobates cultripes (western spadefoot toad) is the source of this 243-nucleotide non-coding RNA. The record is from the annotation of a GenBank genome assembly. NCBI's taxonomy places the organism in Eukaryota, Metazoa, Chordata, Amphibia, Anura, Pelobatidae.
AUAGAGGCAAUAAGCCACCUUAUGAAGUGUGGCAGCUAAUCUGUAGGGAUAGAUUCAGCCACCGUGCGAAUCUUGAGUGUAGUUGUUGCAGGUGCUGUAUUGACUCAUCCUGCGAGUACAAGCUAUGCCUAUCAUGCCUUCUUCAAUUCUAGCUUCAAUUCUAUCAGUUACAGCUUCGGUUUCCAUUUUUUUUUUUUUUAAAGUGUGCUAACAGGUCAUGUAUGUCCUGUUUGGUGACUGGUG